UCUUGUUCUGCUCAGAUUUUAGCUUGUAUUCUUCUCUAUUCCAUUUUAAUUGUCAGGAGUUCCAGACUUCCUGUGGAAUAUGANUUAAUUGUCCGAGUUCCAGACUUCCUGUGGAAUAUGAGCUGGUUUAAAGCCAUGUUUGUUUCUUUUUGGGCUCCUCAAGUUGAAGAGAUAUUGAUCAUAAGUUUCUGCCGCUUUCCUUGCUCAAGCUUGCCUCACCACCGAGUCUAUUGUUUCAUCCCAACAACAUUUUUUCUACACAUUAACAAUAUAAACAUAAGUUUAAGUGUAAAUGUUUACCAAACAACAAUUUAUCACAUAAAGUUAAUUACCUGAAACUCCUCCCAAUAUAAUUCGCGCAUU
This 363-nucleotide long non-coding RNA is filed under the name Lactuca sativa (garden lettuce). Its description in RNAcentral is "long non-coding RNA (LSAT_LNC005608)". Lineage: Eukaryota; Viridiplantae; Streptophyta; Magnoliopsida; Asterales; Asteraceae. The record is from RNAcentral.